Molecule: microRNA precursor, 117 nt
Filed under: Chlorocebus sabaeus (green monkey)
Lineage: Eukaryota; Metazoa; Chordata; Mammalia; Primates; Cercopithecidae
Description: miRNA (ENSCSAG00000027952.1)
Rfam family: mir-548 microRNA precursor family (bases 26-109)
Source: RNAcentral
CAGGAAGUUCUGAAGGAUUUCUAACUAUUAGGUUGGUGCAAAAGUAAUUGCAGUUUUUGCCAUUGAAAGUAAUGGCAAAAAUCGCAAUUACUUUUGCACCAACCUAAUAGUUUGCAC